UGGGGAAUAUUGCACAAUGGAGGGAACUCUGAUGCAGCGACGCCGCGUGAACGAAGAAGGCUUUCGAGUCGUAAAGUUCUUUUAUAUGGGAAGAUAAUGACGGUACCAUAAGAAAAAGCCCCGGCUAACUACGUGCCAGCAGCCGCGGUAAUACGUAGGGGGCUAGCGUUGUCCGGAAUCACUGGGCGUAAAGGGUUCGCAGGCGGAAAUGCAAGUCAGGUGUAAAAGGCAGUAGCUUAACUACUGUAAGCAUUUGAAACUGCAUAUCUUGAGAAGAGUAGAGGUAAGUGGAAUUUUUAGUGUAGCGGUGAAAUGCGUAGAUAGUAAAAAGAAUACCGGUGGCGAAGGCGGCUUACUGGGCUCAUUCUGACGCUGAGGAACGAAAGCGUGGGUAGCAAACAG
This 402-nucleotide ribosomal RNA is filed under the name bacterium. Its description in RNAcentral is "partial 16S ribosomal RNA". It matches the Rfam family "Bacterial small subunit ribosomal RNA", at positions 355 to 775 of the family's 1533-position model. The record is from RNAcentral.